Macadamia integrifolia is the source of this 843-nucleotide long non-coding RNA. RefSeq lists it as uncharacterized. The transcript has 4 exons. The record is from RefSeq and is a predicted model, not a curated record. Lineage: Eukaryota; Viridiplantae; Streptophyta; Magnoliopsida; Proteales; Proteaceae.
CCCACCUAGAGAUCAGGAGCCGGGCCCCACUGUGGAGUUUUCCUCUGAGGACUGGUGGGUCCUUGAUGAGUUUGAGCACGAUGCCGAUUGCACGUGCAAGGAUUGCGCUGCAUGGCAAUGGGUGAUCUUUUCGAUUAUUUUGAUAUACUGAAUUGUUGAUCCUGGAAGGUUGUGAGUUAAUUAGAGUCAACUCGCUCACCGGAUCGGUUCUGUGCGAGUGAGGUGUGACAACGGUGGUAUUAAAGCGCGAUGCUCUACCUGCCUACGGCAUACUGCUUAGACCCCAAAGAAACUAUAAUAGGUCUAAGAGCGCCAAGAGGCGAACCGUGUAACUACCCUAGUUGCCCAAGGAGGCAAGCGCAAAAGACAAGGUAACCCAAGAAAUCAGGUUAUGGCUCAAAACCAGGCACCAAAAGAAGGCAAGCCCGCCAAGCGCAAAAGAGGCGAGUGUGGCAGAAAGAAAGAUUUAUCCAAGGUCAAAUGCUACAACUGUGAGAAAAUGGGGCACUUUGCUCGUGAUUGCACUGACCCGAAGUAGAUUAUCGUAGAAUUCCAGCUGGAUCCCAGAACAUGUUCAUGGGGAAUGGCACUAGUGAGGGAGUUCAAGGAAUUGGUACUUAGUAGCUCAAGAUGCGUAAUGGAUGCACCUUGCUUCUUCACGACAUGCUUUAUGACCGGAUAUUUAGCAUAAUCUAAUUUCAGUUUCUGCAUUAUUACUUUUUGGAUGUUCAUUCCAUAUUGACGGUUACACUUUAGAGUUUUAUUUGAGCGGUAUUAUUGUUGGACGUGGAUCCUAAUUUGAUGGAUUUUUUAAAUUUGAUUUAAUUGAUUCUGCUUCAUCUA